Molecule: ribosomal RNA, 253 nt
Filed under: uncultured bacterium
Lineage: Bacteria
Description: partial 16S ribosomal RNA
Rfam family: Bacterial small subunit ribosomal RNA
Source: RNAcentral
UACGUAGGGUGCAAGCGUUGUCCGGAAUUAUUGGGCGUAAAGAGCUCGUAGGCGGUCUGUCGCGUCGGAUGUGAAAACCCAGGGCUUAACCCUGGGCCUGCAUUCGAUACGGGCAGACUAGAGUUCGGUAGGGGAGACUGGAAUUCCUGGUGUAGCGGUGAAAUGCGCAGAUAUCAGGAGGAACACCGGCGGCGAAGGCGGGUCUCUAGGCCGACACUGACGCUGAGGAGCGAAAGCGUGGGGAGCGAACAGG